This 468-nucleotide ribosomal RNA is filed under the name uncultured bacterium. RNAcentral describes it as "partial 16S ribosomal RNA". It matches the Rfam family "Bacterial small subunit ribosomal RNA", at positions 28 to 507 of the family's 1533-position model. The record is from RNAcentral.
GACGAACGCUGGCGGCGUGCUUAACACAUGCAAGUCGAACGGAAAGGCCCUGCUUUUGUGGGGUGCUCGAGUGGCGAACGGGUGAGUAACACGUGAGUAACCUGCCCUUGACUUUGGGAUAACUUCAGGAAACUGGGGCUAAUACCGGAUAGGAGCUCCUGCUGCAUGGUGGGGGUUGGAAAGUUUCGGCGGUUGGGGAUGGACUCGCGGCUUAUCAGCUUGUUGGGGGGGUAGUGGCUUACCAAGGCUUUGACGGGUAGCCCGCCUGAGAGGGUGAACGGCCACAUUGGGACUGAGAUACGGCCCAGACUCCUACGGGAGGCAGCAGUGGGGAAUAUUGCACAAUGGGCGGAAGCCUGAUGCAGCAACGCCGCGUGCGGGAUGACGGCCUUCGGGUUGUAAACCGCUUUCGCCUGUGACGAAGCGUGAGUGACGGUAAUGGGUAAAGAAGCACCGGCUAACUACGUG